ACAAGACUCGUUGGUGACCAGCGGAGGGUCAUUACCGAGUUUACAACUCCCAAACCCAAUGUGAACGUUACCAAACUGUUGCCUCGGCGGGGUCACGCCCCGGGUGCGUCGCAGCCCCGGAACCAGGCGCCCGCCGGAGGAACCAACCAAACUCUUUCUGUAGUCCCCUCGCGGACGUAUUUCUUUACAGCUCUGAGCAAAAAUUCAAAAUGAAUCAAAACUUUCAACAACGGAUCUCUUGGUUCUGGCAUCGAUGAAGAACGCAGCGAAAUGCGAUAAGUAAUGUGAAUUGCAGAAUUCAGUGAAUCAUCGAAUCUUUGAACGCACAUUGCGCCCGCCAGUAUUCUGGCGGGCAUGCCUGUCCGAGCGUCAUUUCAACCCUCGAACCCCUCCGGGGGAUCGGCGUUGGGGAUCGGGACCCCUCACACGGGCGCCGGCCCCUAAAUACAGUGGCGGUCUCGCCGCAGCCUCUCCUGCGCAGUAGUUUGCACAACUCGCACCGGGAGCGCGGCGCGUCCACGUCCGUAAAACACCCAACUUUCUGAAAUGUUGACCUCGGAUCAGGUAGGAAUACCCGCUGAACUUAAGCAUAUCAAUAAGCGGAGGA
This 607-nucleotide ribosomal RNA is filed under the name Trichoderma asperellum. Its description in RNAcentral is "eukaryotic LSU rRNA". The stretch from base 219 to 372 matches the Rfam family "5.8S ribosomal RNA". The record is from RNAcentral. Lineage: Eukaryota; Fungi; Ascomycota; Sordariomycetes; Hypocreales; Hypocreaceae.